UGAAAAAUCAUGACCAUGGCCUCCUGUUCCCGCUUUGAUGCUGUGAGAUGAUCUCCUAAUCGUCGGAUGGAAACUAAGCAUCAAUGAGCCCCCACAAGGAACACAAAGCUAUCAGGCUACUCACUAGCCCCAACUGACUCUUACUCGUGAAGAAUCAUGACUAUGGCCUCCGGUUUGAUUCAUUAUUCUUCGUCCUCUGUUAUCCAUGAAUUGAAAGAUCACCGAUUUAUCCUGCUUUGCAUUUGAGAGAGGUAGACCUGGCACUGUAUAAUAGUUUUA
Molecule: unclassified non-coding RNA, 279 nt
Filed under: Hevea brasiliensis (rubber tree)
Lineage: Eukaryota; Viridiplantae; Streptophyta; Magnoliopsida; Malpighiales; Euphorbiaceae
Source: RNAcentral